CACGUAGGCGGGUCAGUAAGUCAGAUGUGAAAUCCCUGGGCUUAACCUGGGAACUGCAUCUGAAACUGCUAAUCUUGAAUACCUCAGAGGUUGGUGGAAUUCCUGGUGUAGGAGUGAAAUCCGUAGAGAUCAGGAGGAACAUCGGAGGCGAAGGCGGCCAACUGGGAGAGUAUUGACGCUGAGGUGCGAAAGCGUGGGGAGCAAACA
Molecule: ribosomal RNA, 207 nt
Filed under: uncultured bacterium
Lineage: Bacteria
Description: partial 16S ribosomal RNA
Rfam family: Bacterial small subunit ribosomal RNA
Source: RNAcentral